CCUUCGGGAGGCAGCAGUGAGGAAUAUUGGUCAAUGGGAGAGAUCCUGAACCAGCCAAGCCGCGUGAGGGAAGACGGCCCUAUGGGUUGUAAACCUCUUUUGUCGGAGAACAAAACCCGGGACGUGUCCCGGACUGCGUGUAUCCGAAGAAAAAGCAUUGGCUAACUCCGUGCCAGCAGCCGCGGUAAUACGGAGGAUGCGAGCGUUAUCCGGAUUUAUUGGGUUUAAAGGGUGCGUAGGCGGUCCGUUAAGUCAGCGGUAAAAAUGCGGUGCUCAACGCCGUCGAGCCGUUGAAACUGGCGUUCUUGAGUGGGCGAGAAGUAUGCGGAAUGCGUGGUGUAGCGGUGAAAUGCAUAGAUAUCACGCAGAACUCCGAUUGCGAAGGCAGCAUACCGGCGCCCUACUGACGCUGAGGCACGAAAGCGUGGGUAUCGAACAGGAUUAGAUACCCGAGUAGUC
Molecule: ribosomal RNA, 459 nt
Filed under: uncultured bacterium
Lineage: Bacteria
Description: partial 16S ribosomal RNA
Rfam family: Bacterial small subunit ribosomal RNA
Source: RNAcentral